CCUACGGGAGGCAGCAGUGGGGAAUAUUGCACAAUGGGCGAAAGCCUGAUGCAGCGACGCCGCGUGAGGGAUGACGGCCUUCGGGUUGUAAACCUCUUUCAGCAGGGAAGAAGCGAAAGUGACGGUACCUGCAGAAGAAGCGCCGGCUAACUACGUGCCAGCAGCCGCGGUAAUACGUAGGGCGCAAGCGUUGUCCGGAAUUAUUGGGCGUAAAGAGCUCGUAGGCGGCUUGUCACGUCGGGUGUGAAAGCCCGGGGCUUAACCCCGGGUCUGCAUUCGAUACGGGCUAGCUAGAGUGUGGUAGGGGAGAUCGGAAUUCCUGGUGUAGCGGUGAAAUGCGCAGAUAUCAGGAGGAACACCGGUGGCGAAGGCGGAUCUCUGGGCCAUUACUGACGCUGAGGAGCGAAAGCGUGGGGAGCGAACAGGAUUAGAUACCCUGGUAGUCCACGCCGUAAACGGUGGGAACUAGGUGUUGGCGACAUCCACGUCGUCGUGCGCAGCACGCAUUAACGUUCCCGUCCGUCGGGUAGGUACGGCCGCGACGGACGUAAACGUUAAACGGUAAAGUUAGACGGCGUGAGACGUGCCGACGGACGACCGACGAGGGAGGUAGG
This 614-nucleotide ribosomal RNA is filed under the name uncultured bacterium. Its description in RNAcentral is "bacterial SSU rRNA". The stretch from base 1 to 520 matches the Rfam family "Bacterial small subunit ribosomal RNA", at positions 338 to 873 of the family's 1533-position model. The record is from RNAcentral.